UACAGAGGUCUCAAGCGUUGUUCGGAUUCAUUGGGCGUAAAGCGCGCGCAGGCGGUCCUUUAAGUCUGGUGUGAAAGCCAACGGCUCAACCGUGGAGGGUCAUUGGAAACUGGGGGACUUGAGUGCAGGAGAGAAGGGUGGAAUUCCACGUGUAGCGGUGAAAUGCGUAGAGAUGUGGAGGAACACCAGUGGCGAAGGCGACUUCCUGGCCUGCUCUUGACGCUGAGGCGCGAAAGCUAGGGUAGCAAACGGG
This 253-nucleotide ribosomal RNA is filed under the name uncultured bacterium. RNAcentral describes it as "partial 16S ribosomal RNA". It matches the Rfam family "Bacterial small subunit ribosomal RNA", at positions 524 to 776 of the family's 1533-position model. The record is from RNAcentral.